GAUGAACGCUGGCGGCGUGCCUAAUACAUGCAAGUCGAGCGAACAGACGAGGAGCUUGCUCCUCUGACGUUAGCGGCGGACGGGUGAGUAACACGUGGAUAACCUACCUAUAAGACUGGGAUAACUUCGGGAAACCGGAGCUAAUACCGGAUAAUAUAUUGAACCGCAUGGUUCAAUAGUGAAAGACGGUUUUGCUGUCACUUAUAGAUGGAUCCGCGCCGCAUUAGCUAGUUGGUAAGGUAACGGCUUACCAAGGCAACGAUGCGUAGCCGACCUGAGAGGGGGGUUGACCGCCCACGAGGGAACGCACCCCCCAUCCUACUUCGUCAGGCAGCAGGAGGUAGGCUUCCUCCGGCGUCGGAAGAAUGCCGGAGGAACCCCGCCCGCGUGAUGAAGGAGGUCCUUCGGUUAGAAAACCUUUUUAGUUAGGAACAAAUAAGUAAGUAACUAACCACGUCCUUAUGGCAGCUACUCAGCAGACAGCCGCGACUUACUAC
This 497-nucleotide ribosomal RNA is filed under the name uncultured bacterium. RNAcentral's name for it is "partial 16S ribosomal RNA". It matches the Rfam family "Bacterial small subunit ribosomal RNA", at positions 28 to 504 of the family's 1533-position model. The record is from RNAcentral.